GCGGAGGAAAAGAACCAACAGGGAUUGCCCUAGUAACGGCGAGUGAAGCGGCAACAGCUCAAAUUUGAAAUCUGGCCUCGGCCCGAGUUGUAAUUUGCAGAGGAUGCUUCUGGCGCGGUGCCUUCCGAGUUCCCUGGAACGGGACGCCACAGAGGGUGAGAGCCCCGUAUGGUCGGACACCAAGCCUGUGUGAAGCUCCUUCGACGAGUCGAGUAGUUUGGGAAUGCUGCUCUAAAUGGGAGGUAAAUCUCUUCUAAAGCUAAAUACCGGCCAGAGACCGAUAGCGCACAAGUAGAGUGAUCGAAAGAUGAAAAGCACCUUGAAAAGGGGGUUAAAUAGUACGUGAAAUUGUUGAAAGGGAAGCACUUGUGACCAGACUUGGGCCGGGCGGCUCAUCAGGGGUUCUCCCCUGUGCACUCCGCCCGGCACAGGCCAGCAUCGGUUCUCGUGGGGGGAUAAGACCGUCAGGAACGUAGCACCCUCCGGGGUGUGUUAUAGCCUGGCGGACGAUACCCCCGUGGGGACCGAGGUUCGCGCUCCGCAAGGAUGCUGGCGUAAUGGUCACCAGUGACCCGUCUUGAAACACGGACCAAGGAGUCGUCCAUUAGAGCGAGCGUUUGGGUGUAAAACCCGCACGCGUAAUGAAAGUGAACGCAGGUGAGAGCUUCGGCGCAUCAUCGACCGAUCCUGAUGUUCUCGGAAGGAUUUGAGUAAGAGUUUUAACGGACGGACCCGAAAGACAGUGAACUAUGCUUGUAUAGGGUGAAGCCAGAGGAAACUCUGGUGGAGGCUCGCAGCGGUUCUGACGUGCAAAUCGAUCGUCAAAUAUGAGCAUGGGG
This 839-nucleotide small RNA is filed under the name Diaporthe sclerotioides. RNAcentral describes it as "eukaryotic LSU rRNA". It matches the Rfam family "Eukaryotic large subunit ribosomal RNA", at positions 50 to 922 of the family's 3401-position model. The record is from RNAcentral. Lineage: Eukaryota; Fungi; Ascomycota; Sordariomycetes; Diaporthales; Diaporthaceae.